This 269-nucleotide long non-coding RNA is filed under the name Medicago truncatula (barrel medic). Its description in RNAcentral is "long non-coding RNA (MTRU_LNC002154)". Lineage: Eukaryota; Viridiplantae; Streptophyta; Magnoliopsida; Fabales; Fabaceae. The record is from RNAcentral.
UCGAUUUUCCCACAUUGCAGUUUUUCGGUAACAUUUGAAGAAAUUUUGGCGGCUCUUCAACUUAAUCAAUGACAAUGGUAAAUCAAGUUAGGGACGUCCCAACGAUAGCACCCAACUUUUGAAUGGUUUGGAUCGUUGUGCAACAUGUUAACUUCGUUAAUGACUUAUUCACUUUUUCGCCAUUUGAAUUUGCUUCUUCAAUGGAAUGCUUGACUCUUUCUCUUGCAGCCUCUAGAUCUUUUAAAUCUUUAGAUAACUUCAUGAAAUUU